This 253-nucleotide ribosomal RNA is filed under the name uncultured bacterium. Its description in RNAcentral is "partial 16S ribosomal RNA". It matches the Rfam family "Bacterial small subunit ribosomal RNA", at positions 524 to 776 of the family's 1533-position model. The record is from RNAcentral.
UACGGAGGGUGCAAGCGUUAUCCGGAUUCACUGGGUUUAAAGGGUGCGUAGGCGGACAGGUAAGUCAGUGGUGAAAUCUCUGGGCUUAACCCAGAAACUGCCGUUGAUACUAUUUGUCUUGAAUAUCCUGGAGGUAGGCGGAAUAUGUCAUGUAGCGGUGAAAUGCUUAGAUAUGACAUAGAACACCGAUAGCGAAGGCAGCUUACUACAGGAUGAUUGACGCUGAGGCACGAAAGCGUGGGGAGCAAACAUG